Long non-coding RNA from Thunnus maccoyii (southern bluefin tuna), 393 nucleotides. RefSeq lists it as uncharacterized. The transcript is spliced from 3 exons. The record is from RefSeq and is a predicted model, not a curated record. Lineage: Eukaryota; Metazoa; Chordata; Actinopteri; Scombriformes; Scombridae.
GGCGAGGGCAGGGAGAAGAAGAAGAAGGAGAAGAAGAAGGGUGGCUGUUAGUGGAGCUGGGUCAGACAGUCAGUGUUACGACUCCCUGUGGUGGAAAGUAUAUCCUAGGUCCAGUUCUCUACAGCAACGUCAGGAGAACAUCUGGAGAACAUCUGGAGAACGUUCUCAGGUGAACAUCCAGAGAACAUCUGGAGAACAUCUGGAGAACAUCUGGAGAACAUGUGGCCCCACCCCCUGCACUCACACAGGAAGUGUCCUGGUUCCGUUCAGCAGCUGGAUCAGCUCCAGGCGGGUCUGAUCAUCCAGGACAGUGUGAGGGGGAAGUGGUCCAGGCUGAGCACCUCGCUGAGGUAGGUCCUGCUGGGAGGACUGAUGGUCCACAGAGAGUUACUG